AUUGAACGCUGGCGGCAUGCCUAACACAUGCAAGUCGAGCGGAAGAAGGGUGCUGGUUUCUGGAGCUAGAGGGGCGAGCGUGUGAAAUGCCUAGGAAUAUCCUUGCCUGUGGGGGAUGACGUCUGGAAAAGGGCGGUAAUAACACCUGAUACAUGCGGGAGAUGGAGGGGGAUGUUUGGAACUCUCGCUAUGAUAUGAGUCUAGGUGGGACUAGCUAGUUGGUGGGGUAAAGGCUUACCAAGCCGACGAUCCGUAGGUGGUCUGAGAGGAUGAUCAGUCACACUGGAACUGAGACACGGUCCAGACUCCUACGGGAGGCAGCAGUGGGGAAUAUUGGACAAUGGGCGAAAGCCUGAUCCAGCCAUGCCGCGUGUGUGAAGAAGGUCUUCGGAUUGUAAAGCACUUUAAGUUGGGAGGAAGGGCAUUAAGUUAAUACCUUGCUGUUUUGACGUUACCGACAGAAUAAGCACCGGCUAACUUCGUG
This 484-nucleotide ribosomal RNA is filed under the name uncultured bacterium. RNAcentral describes it as "partial 16S ribosomal RNA". It matches the Rfam family "Bacterial small subunit ribosomal RNA", at positions 30 to 507 of the family's 1533-position model. The record is from RNAcentral.